GCUGGGCAUGGUGGCGGGUGCCUGUAAUCCCAGCUACUCGGGAGGCUGAGGUAGGGAGAAUUGCUUGAACCCGGGAGGUGGGGGUUGCAGUGAGCCAAGAUCGCUCCACUGCACUCCAGCCUGGGUGACGUAGCGAGACUCUGUCUCAAAAAAGAAAGCCAAGAUAGGCUGAAAACUAGGCCUUUUUCACCAAACAGCCAAGUUAUGUAUGCAAAGGAAAAGUUCUUUUUUUUUUUUUUUUUCGAGAAGGAGUCUCACUCUGUCGCCCAGGCUGGGGUGCAGUGGUGCGAUCUCGGCUCACUGCAAGCUCCACCUCCCGGGUUCACGCCAUUCUCCUGCCUCUG
RNAcentral lists this signal recognition particle RNA (344 nucleotides) under Macaca mulatta (Rhesus monkey). Its description in RNAcentral is "Metazoan signal recognition particle RNA (ENSMMUG00000061839.1)". It matches the Rfam family "Metazoan signal recognition particle RNA". From Rfam's summary of the family: The signal recognition particle (SRP) is a universally conserved ribonucleoprotein. It is involved in the co-translational targeting of proteins to membranes. The record is from Rfam by way of RNAcentral. Lineage: Eukaryota; Metazoa; Chordata; Mammalia; Primates; Cercopithecidae.